GGCAUGGUGGUUUAGUGGUUAUCACUGUUGCAUCGCACCUCCAGAGUUGGGGGUUCGAAUCUCUCCUCCCCAUGCCU
Molecule: non-coding RNA, 77 nt
Organism: Pangasius djambal
Lineage: Eukaryota; Metazoa; Chordata; Actinopteri; Siluriformes; Pangasiidae
Source: the annotation of a GenBank genome assembly